UGACAGAGUGAGGGAGGGGGUGACUAGUGACAGAGUGAGGGAGGGGGUGACACAGUGACAGAGUGAAGGAGGUGGUGACUGUCACUAGUCACCCCCUUCCCUCCCUCACUCUGUCACUAGUCACCCCCUUCCCUCCCUCACUCU
Pelobates cultripes (western spadefoot toad) is the source of this 144-nucleotide non-coding RNA. The record is from the annotation of a GenBank genome assembly. NCBI's taxonomy places the organism in Eukaryota, Metazoa, Chordata, Amphibia, Anura, Pelobatidae.